Molecule: ribosomal RNA, 289 nt
Filed under: uncultured bacterium
Lineage: Bacteria
Description: partial 16S ribosomal RNA
Rfam family: Bacterial small subunit ribosomal RNA
Source: RNAcentral
GUUCCUACGGGGCGCAGCAGUGAGGAAUAUUGGUCAAUGGCCGGAAGGCUGAACCAGCCAAGCCGCGUGAAGGACGAAGGUGCCAAGCAUUGUAAACUUCUUUUGUCAAGGGACAAAAUCAGGCUCGAGAGCCUGACCGAGGAUACUUGAAGAAAAAGCAUCGGCUAACUCCGUGCCAGCAGCCGCGGUAAUACGGAGGAUGCGAGCGUUAUCCGGAUUUAUUGGGUUUAAAGGGCGUGCAGCCGGAGAGACAAGUCAGAUGUGAAAUCCAGGGGCUCAACCCGUGAAC